Molecule: ribosomal RNA, 254 nt
Filed under: uncultured bacterium
Lineage: Bacteria
Description: partial 16S ribosomal RNA
Rfam family: Bacterial small subunit ribosomal RNA
Source: RNAcentral
UACGAAGGGGGCGAGCGUUGUUCGGAAUUACUGGGCGUAAAGGGCGCGUAGGCGGCCAGGUAGGUCUGCUGUGAAACCUCCAGGCUCAACCUGGAGACGCCACUUGAUACUGCUGUGACUGGAGUCCGGUAGGGGAGCGUGGAAUUCCUGGUGUAGCGGUGAAAUGCGCAGAUAUCAGGAGGAACACCAGCGGCGAAGGCGGCGCUCUGGGCCGGUACUGACACUGAGGAGCGAAAGCGUGGGUAGCAAACAGG